UGAGUAACACGUGAGCAACCUGCCUUUCAGUGGGGGACAACAUUUGGAAACGAAUGCUAAUACCGCAUAAGACCACAGUGUCGCAUGGCACAGGGGUCAAAGGAUUUAUCCGCUGAAAGAUGGGCUCGCGUCCGAUUAGCUAGAUGGUGAGGUAACGGCCCACCAUGGCGACGAUCGGUAGCCGGACUGAGAGGUUGAACGGCCACAUUGGGACUGAGACACGGCCCAAACUCCUACGGGAGGCAGCAUG
RNAcentral lists this ribosomal RNA (250 nucleotides) under uncultured bacterium. RNAcentral describes it as "partial 16S ribosomal RNA". It matches the Rfam family "Bacterial small subunit ribosomal RNA", at positions 107 to 353 of the family's 1533-position model. The record is from RNAcentral.